GGUCCCAUGAUCUAGUGGUUAGGAUAUUGGACUUUGAAUCCAAUAACUUGAUAACUUGAUUUCAAAUCUCGGUAGGACCU
Molecule: transfer RNA, 80 nt
Filed under: Ipomoea nil (Japanese morning glory)
Lineage: Eukaryota; Viridiplantae; Streptophyta; Magnoliopsida; Solanales; Convolvulaceae
Rfam family: tRNA
About the family: Transfer RNA (tRNA) molecules are approximately 80 nucleotides in length. Their secondary structure includes four short double-helical elements and three loops (D, anti-codon, and T loops).
Source: Rfam by way of RNAcentral